Molecule: long non-coding RNA, 1222 nt
Organism: Pectinophora gossypiella (pink bollworm)
Lineage: Eukaryota; Metazoa; Arthropoda; Insecta; Lepidoptera; Gelechiidae
Exons: 3
Source: RefSeq, a predicted model, not a curated record
AAACAUUUGGAAGGAGUUUUAUUCAAAAAAUGAAACCCGCUGAGUUUCUGUAAAUUUUGAUAUACAUAAAUACUUUUUAUCAAUGUUUUUUGCAUUAUAGACCUUCAAAAUGUGAACUUUCCCACUGGACACCCUGUAUAUAGCGACUUUGAAAGUCUGUUACGUGAAUACUCUGCUCGCUCCGUGAUCCAGAAUCCCCUAUUGUAUCCUACUUAAGUCCAGUUAUGAUUCGACUGCAUCCAAAGGCUGGACCUAGAAAAAAUACAAAUAAGGGAAGAAAGAAAGGUGCCACAAGAAUAUUGCCGGAUACGCCCAAAAAAUACUCCAUAGUAAAAGAGCAUCGUCAAAGAGAAGAUAGAAAACGUAAGAAGUUAGCCACAGCAGUAAAAAUAAAUCUAAACAAGAACUUCCUAAAGCGAAGAAACAAAGAGGAAACGUUUAGUUUUUGAGAUAAUAAUUCUGAUAGAAGUAAGUCAACAUGUUAAAAUAACCUUUAAAUGGAGUGACGCUAAUUAUUAUGUUGUUUUUGUUACAGUCGUGGAAUAAUUAUCAAUUAACAAUAACCAUGGUGGAAAGGUAAGAAAAAUACUCUUAGACUCUUCUACGGCGCACACGCAGCCACGUGAAUAACAUCAAAAUAAUCACAAUCAUUGUGUCCUUUGUGCUCAAUAAAGUAUAUUUAUCUCUGUUUGCAGAUACCCGAAGAUUUGGACGGGGACUGUUAUCAAAGGGAUUGCAACUGAACCUAUGAGGGUGAGUUAAUUACAAGGGUAAGGGGCUUCCUAUAAUACUGUGCUCCUAUGAGGAAGGAACAGUAUGGUUUAACAACAAUGCAGUGUUGAUGCAUGAGCUUACUAACUCAGCAGCUAAUUGCAAGCAGCCUGUGCACAAAGGGGGGUGUUUGUUUGUGUGUGUAUAAUAUAUAACUGAUGUCAUUAAUAUAAACAGCCUAUGUACGUCCCAUUGCUGGGCACAGGCCUCCCCUCAAACAACCAGAGUCAGUAUGGAGCAUCUGAUGUCAUUACUACGUAAUAAUCGCUUGUUUUCUUGGGCAAACCAGAAAUGAAGAGGAACAGAAACAGUGGUGGUGUCGUGGGAGAUGGUGGAGCCGGCGGCGGAACCCACCAAUUGAAGUCAGCGUCGAAGUGACAGAGGAGACAUUAGGCAGUACACCCGUCCCGCCAUUGGUGGAGCGACUUCGGGACCGCGCCCUCUCACCGAC